AUGAAAAACUUACUCAUUAUCACCUUCUCUUCUGCAACACUCCUUGCUAUCUCUCGUCGUAAUCAUAUAUUCCCUCCGUCUAUUUUAUCCAACCCGUCCUUGUCCAUCUUCGUUCGUACUCCGCUUCUGCCCUCUCAUGAUUCCCUCAUGCAAACCAUCACCACCGUCUUCAACAAAUACUCCCUCCCAAAAAUCUGCUCUGCAGCCUCAAAAAGUUGUUCCCACUGUCGAACCGCUAAAAACCCCCAACCUCACCCGAACUAA
This is a non-coding RNA of Vicia faba (fava bean), 264 nucleotides long. The record is from the annotation of a GenBank genome assembly. NCBI's taxonomy places the organism in Eukaryota, Viridiplantae, Streptophyta, Magnoliopsida, Fabales, Fabaceae.